This 134-nucleotide ribosomal RNA is filed under the name uncultured cyanobacterium. Its description in RNAcentral is "partial 16S ribosomal RNA". It matches the Rfam family "Bacterial small subunit ribosomal RNA", at positions 355 to 504 of the family's 1533-position model. The record is from RNAcentral. RNAcentral also lists the same sequence under 1 other name. Lineage: Bacteria; Bacillati; Cyanobacteriota.
UGGGGAAUUUUCCGCAAUGGGCGAAAGCCUGACGGAGCAACGCCGCGUGAGGGAUGAAGGCCUCUGGGCUGUAAACCUCUUUUAUCAAGGAAGAAGAUCUGACGGUACUUGAUGAAUAAGCCACGGCUAAUUCC